This 99-nucleotide non-coding RNA is filed under the name human gut metagenome. Its description in RNAcentral is "NiCo riboswitch". It matches the Rfam family "NiCo (Nickel/Cobalt) riboswitch aptamer". The record is from RNAcentral.
ACAGUACAAAUUGAUCAGGCGAUACCUAUAGGGGGUAUGGAGCCGGGCCGUUGAUGAUAGCGGCAGCAGAUUGUUUUUUAUGCACAUCUGUGGGACAGU